RNAcentral lists this ribosomal RNA (253 nucleotides) under uncultured bacterium. RNAcentral describes it as "partial 16S ribosomal RNA". It matches the Rfam family "Bacterial small subunit ribosomal RNA", at positions 524 to 776 of the family's 1533-position model. The record is from RNAcentral.
GACAGAGGGUGCAAACGUUGGCCGGAUUUACUGGGCGUAAAGGGCGUGCAGGCGGUUUGUUAAGUGCAGGGUGAAAGCUCCCGGCUCAACUGGGAGAGGUCCUUGCAUACUGGCGAACUCGAGGGAGGCAGAGGAAAGUGGAAUUCCCGGUGUAGUGGUGAUAUGCGUAGAUAUCGGGAGGAACACCUGUGGCGAAGGCGGCUUUCUGGGCCUUACCUGACGCUGAGACGCGAAAGCGUGGGGAGCGAACCGG